UCUGUUAUUAACUAAUGACACUAAAUACUAUGAUGAUUUGUAUGAUUAUAUAUUUAGUCUAUAUGAUAACGUUUUAUUCAUUUUAUUACUUUUAUCAAAUGAAAAUAAUACAUACCAUGAUAAUACAUACCAUGAUAACAUGUACAAAAAAGACAACAAUAAUAGUGUAAAUGAAAAUGUGAUUGCUAAGGGGUUAGUAGUAGAAUUAAAAAAAGACCUGAACAUAAAAAAUUCAUUAUAUAAUAAGGUAAUAGUUCUUAAUAAAUAUUUUUAUGUUAAUAAAUUUUUUUAAGAUUAACUAUAAGUGAUGAUAUAUAUGAUUUACAUGAACUGCUUAAGAAAUAUUCAUCUGAAAAUAUAAAUAAAGAGAAUGAUUACCUGAUUUAUAAUAUUAUUGAAAACAAAACAGAUUUGGACAUAUUAAUAAGUAUAUUAAAUAGUAAAAAAAAAAAUAAUAGGUUUUGCCUGGUUAAAAAAAAACAUAGAUCUUAAUAUUUUAGUUAACUUAUACAAUUUAAAGGAUUACAACUAUCUUAUGAAAAAAGAAUUUUUUUCAGAAAUAUCCAAGCAACUGGUAUUGUUCCUUUUUUUUUUUAUUUUUUUUUCUAUAUACAAAAAAAAAUAAAAAAUAAAAAAUAAAAAAUAAAAAAUAAAAAAAUUGAACAUAUAAGCAUAUAAACAUGCAAAUAUAGUCGUAUGUAAAAAAAAAGAAAAAAAAAAAAAAAGAAAAAGUGUACAUCUUAAAACAUGUUACAUGUUCUACUAUAUUUUCCCCUUUUAGAAAUCAUACAAAAGCAGUGACAAGAAUUUAAAAAAAAAAAAAAAGAAAUACAUGUUUGUUGAAUUUAAGCAAUAUAUUUUAAAAAACAUAAAAUUAGAAUCUCUAGAUUGUUUAGAAAAAAAAUACGAAAUUAAAGAAGAACUUAUUUAUGAAUUUCUGAGUGAACAUAUAAUUCACGAUGUGGACAUAUAUGCCGAUUAUUUUAUAAAACAAAAUAUAGAUAUAAAUAAGUUAAUAAAAAACAUUUAUAGUAAGCUAGAAUAUGAUUACGAACACUUUAAACGCGAUUCUGGAAGUAACAUACAUCUUGCUAGCUUAAACAAGUUAAUAAGUUUGUGUUCACAUAUAAGUUUUACAGAUGUAGCCAAAGUUUGCGAAAAGUUUCACAAACAUUUCGAAAAAAUCGAAAUGCUAUAUUUUAAUUUUAAUAAUGAUAAAACAUAUAAAAAAAUAUACGAAAACAUCAAAAAGCUAAGACACACAAAAAAAAAAUGAUGAAUCAUUUAAAACAGGUAGUAAAAGAAUAAAUACCAUGAAAAUGAACCGAGUUAAUAGCA
This is a long non-coding RNA of Piliocolobus tephrosceles (Ugandan red Colobus), 1338 nucleotides long. The record is from Ensembl. Lineage: Eukaryota; Metazoa; Chordata; Mammalia; Primates; Cercopithecidae.